AUGUGGCCGGCCUUAGGGUGUUUUUGGGUUGUUUGGGCCUUUGUGAAUAUUUAGUCAUUAAGUUGUCAUACAACUUAAGUCAAUAGGCUUGACGUUCGAAGCCCAUUGGGCCUUAGGGCCCAAAACUAACUCGAGGUCUUUAACGAACUUUAUUCGUUUGAUUAAUUAACAUAUUAAUUAAUCAUUUCCAUAAAUAAUUAAACCAUUUAAUUAUUCUCACUCAUCUCCAUUGUUUCUUCAAUCUCUACCUUACACGGUGUACGAUCCAUUAGGUUCCUUUUAGCGAGGCAGUGGGCGAUUAGAACACUUUCAAAUCGAUUGUGAAUUGAAACUUACUUUCAAUUCUCCCUUUAGUGUUUAUACACGUUUAGGGCUUCCACAAACCAUGAGUGACACCUAGCAGUAUGUCAUGGUUACCCAAGCUAAUCAGAAGAGGUGGAGAACCUAUUCAGUUUAGGAUUACAAUGCAAUACGGUCUUUCUCUAAUACAAUACUCUUGACCACAUUGUUUGGUUUGAUAGUUUAUUCAUGUCUACUAUCCAAUGUGAUUCAUUUACUUAUAUGAUUACCUUGAAUGUGAUUUGGAAUGACUUCCUAAAUCUCAUUCAUACUCUGGCCAGAGAUUCUUAAUCAUAUCAUAGAGUAUUCUCCCUCAAACGAUUUGAAGGUUAGAGAUCCCUUGUUGCGCAUUCACUUGCCUCCAUGGUUAAGUGGCUUAACCCCAACUAUGCCGUAGACACCCUCUGAUGGGGUGACUUUGACAUAAUCAAAGAUCAAGGACCUAACCACAAGACAACUAUGAUGCCUCAGGUCAAAGGACUACUUUGCAUUAUCCCAACCUAUGAGUUCUCAUGUGACAUGAGUAUGAGAACUCUUCGUUGAUCGUGUUCAGUGAACUCAUUCUUUAUUGAGCACCUACAUGCUUGUCUUGGUGUCAUCAAACCAAUAACUUGAGACUAGUCACUCUCCCUAAGAGAAGACAUAACAUGUACUGAUCUUAACGGAUUGUCAAUGCCCAAUUGGCAAUCCUAUGAUCAGGAACGUUUAGGAUGUGUCUACGAAAGAGAAUGGUCUCAUGAAUCUAACUUGUUUAGAUUACAUUCUCCAAUCACAUAUUCCUUGGACUUAUCGUUUAAGCAUAUAACAUUUAUAUGAGACGGCUUAAAACAAUAAUCUUUGCCCUUUGAUAUUAAACUAGAUUAGUUUAACAUGUGAAAUGUCCGUAAAGUAUCAUCAUAUGAUUGGUUUUAGGGCACAUUUCCAACAAUCUCCCACUUGCACUAGAGCCAAUAAGCUUGGUUAUCAGUGAUGAUACCUCUUUUUGUAGUCAUUUCAUAAAUGGCUGAAGUAGUAGGCCUAGGCAAUGAAUAUCUAUAUGUUAUCCAUAGAAGCAACCUUGAGAAUAACGACGUCACCAUUAUACAUGAUUCUCAAUCAUGUGGUUCAGUCUCUCAUUUGUGUUCGGAUCAUGAUGAGACCUUGAUUCCCUGGCUUGAGCUAUCGCCCCAUUACUGUCGUAGUGUCGAUACACUAGAGACACUUUUUGGUUGGAACCGAAUAGAGAGUUCAUAAAUGAACUUUCCCAUCCAAACAACAUUGUUGUAAGCUUCUAUAUGGCAAUAUAUUUGCAUUCAUAAUGGAACAUACUAAAGUCAUUACUUUUAAUGUUUCCAUCCAAAUAUCUCUUUAGUCAUAAUAAAGAUAUAUCUGGUUAUCUCUUCAUUCAUAAUGAAGAAACAUCCAAUGAUGGAUUAGAUUCAUAAUCUAAUACAUUUACGCU
Molecule: long non-coding RNA, 1780 nt
Filed under: Malus domestica (apple)
Lineage: Eukaryota; Viridiplantae; Streptophyta; Magnoliopsida; Rosales; Rosaceae
Description: long non-coding RNA (MDOM_LNC011352)
Source: RNAcentral